UGGGGAAUAUUGGACAAUGGGGGCAACCCUGAUCCAGCAAUGCCGCGUGUGUGAAGAAGGUCUUCGGAUUGUAAAGCACUUUCGACGGGGACGAUGAUGACGGUACCCGUAGAAGAAGCCCCGGCUAACUUCGUGCCAGCAGCCGCGGUAAUACGAAGGGGGCUAGCGUUGCUCGGAAUGACUGGGCGUAAAGGGCGUGUAGGCGGUUUACACAGUCAGAUGUGAAAUCCCCGGGCUUAACCUGGGAGCUGCAUUUGAUACGUGUAGACUAGAGUGUGAGAGAGGGUUGUGGAAUUCUCAGUGUAGAGGUGAAAUUCGUAGAUAUUGGGAAGAACACCGGUGGCGAAGGCGGCAACCUGGCUCAUGACUGACGCUGAGGCGCGAAAGCGUGGGGAGCAAACAGGAUUAGAUACCCUGGUAGUCCACGCUGUAAACGAUGUGUGCUAGAUGUUGGGUAACUUUGUUAUUCAGUGUCGCAGUUAACGCGUUAAGCACACCGCCUGGGGAGUACGGCCGCAAGGUUGAAACUCU
This 531-nucleotide ribosomal RNA is filed under the name uncultured bacterium. RNAcentral's name for it is "partial 16S ribosomal RNA". It matches the Rfam family "Bacterial small subunit ribosomal RNA", at positions 355 to 903 of the family's 1533-position model. The record is from RNAcentral.